AACGAACGCUGGUGGUAUGCUUAACACAUGCAAGUCGAACGAGCACGACCUAGCCUGCUAGGUACGGCUAGUGGCAGACGGGUGAGUAAUACAUAGGAAUCUACCCAGUAGUAAGGAAUAACUUAUGGAAACAUAAGCUAAUACUGUAUACUACCGAUUUAUCGGGAAAGGCUUCGGCCGCUAUUGGAUGAGCUUAUGCCAGAUUAGCUAGUUGGUAGGGUAAAGGCCUACCAAGGCUGUGAUCUGUAGCUGGUUUGAGAGAAUGAUCAGCCACACUGGGACUGCGACACGGCCCAGACUCCUACGGGAGGCAGCAGUGAGGAAUUUUGGACAAUGGGCGAAAGCCUGAUCCAGCAAUACCACGUGAGUGAUGAAGGCCUUCGGGUUGUAAAGCUCUUUUAGUAGGGAAGAUAGUGACGGUACCUACAGAAAAAGCACCGGCUAAUUCCGUGCCAGCCGCCGCGGUAA
This 468-nucleotide ribosomal RNA is filed under the name uncultured bacterium. RNAcentral's name for it is "partial 16S ribosomal RNA". It matches the Rfam family "Bacterial small subunit ribosomal RNA", at positions 29 to 523 of the family's 1533-position model. The record is from RNAcentral.